AGGCUAAAGAAAAGCAAGAAUAGAAGUUCUCAUUUAGAAUCUAGAAUCUAGGGAACUCUCAUUUCCUUCCUAGCUGAACAAAGAACUCAAAAAAGAAUGGCUCUACAGAGAAUUCCUGACAGCAUUCUAAUGGAGAUCCUGUUGAAGCUGGAACUUGAAACCCUCUGCUCCGUCGCUUGCGUCAGUAAAACACUACAAUCCGCCGUCGUUGAAGCCAUUUCUCUCCUCUCCACUCUCCAUCUUCCUAUCGCUUUCUCUCCAGAUUCUCAAACUCUGAAGAUUGGCAUUCUUGGUCGGUGCCGAGGCAUGAGAAGUCUUACUGUUAAUUGCCUUCGUCUUGAUGAUUCUUCCCUCGUGGAUUUUCUUGGUCCUCAUUUACUCGAGCUGAAUUUGCUUUGCUGCUCUUUACUCUCUUAUAAAUUCCUUGCUUCUGUAGGAAAACUUUGUCCCAAUUUGAGGGUGCUUAUGCUUGAAUUGGUAGCUCAAGAUUCUCCUGAAGUAUUCAAUAGAAACUUGGCUGAACUGCUCACAAGAUGCUUGUUCUUAGAUUCAAUAUCCCUGAAGAUUCGAGGAGCAGGAGAUGUUGAGGCUAAUUAUUUUAGUACUAUUGAAACGUUUCUUCCCAAAACCGUCAAAACACUGAAGUUGAAGUCAUUGCUUCAUCAAGAAGCAAUUUGCAUCAUAAACAAACUAAGAGAUUAUGGGAACUCUUUAAUCACUACCUAUUCCAGAAGCUUUGAAUCUCCUCAGUUAUCUUCAGGGUUAAUGUUGCAGUGCUUGUCACUUACCUUGGAUGUUAUUUCUAAUGAGUUGAUUAUAACCAUUGUCGACUCUCUUCCUUUUUUGGUAGAGCUUCACUUGGAAGACAUGCCGAACCAAGAACAACUGUUGCACCAUGACUUGACCAAUAGGGGACUUCAGUCAUUGAGCACUUGUCAUAAUCUGAUAUCACUUUCUCUUAUUCGUGGUAGGCAUAACCACCAAGUUUCUUUCAAAAAGCUGAAUGAUAUGGGCAUGUUUCUCUUGUCUGAGGGUUGCAAAGGUCUUGAGUCUGUGAGAUUCUGUGGAUUCUCUAAAGUCAGUGAUGCUGGAUUUGCAUCGAUCUUUCACUCAUGCAAUAGGUUGAAAAAGUUUGAGAUUCGUAAUUCAUCACAUUUCUCAGAUCUUGCACUCGACGGUUUUGAUGCCAUCGGAUGCUCCGUAACAGAGUUGAGAUUAUUAUCAUGCAGUCUUAUAACUUCUGAAUCUGUGAAGCAGUUGGCCUAUUCUACAAGCUUGGAAGUCCUUGAUCUAUGUGGCUGCAAGAGCAUAUCAGAUUCUAGCCUUGAAUCCAUUUCCACUUUGUGCAAUUUAUCAUCACUAAAUCUAACAUCAACUGAUGUAACCAACUAUGGUUUAUCUGUUCUUGGUGAGGGAAGUCUACCCAUCGUACGAUUGUCUCUUCGAAGUUGUAAGAGAGUAACCGAAGAAGGAAUCUAUCGAUUGUUUUAUGGUGGUGGAACAGUGAGCAAGACCUUGUCUGCCUUGGAUCUUGGACACAUUUCGGGAAUAACCGAUCGAGCAAUCCAAAUAAUCGCUUCUGCUGGUGUUGGGAUUACUGAGUUAUGCAUCAGAUCUUGCUUCCAUGUGACUGAUUCUUCAGUGGAAGCUUUGGCGAUGAAGAAACAAUUCCAAGGUGAAGAUCCAAGUUAAAAACGAGAGAGAUAAAGGGAAAGAGAGGAAACUGAGAUCCAAAAACAACUUCAAACAUAAGAUGAUUUGGAUUCAAUUGCAACUAUAGAUUUGGAAACACCUGAAACACAAGAGUUGCCUGAGAUGAAGUUGAAGAAGACGCUGAAACUGAAACAGAAAAGGAAAAUGAUGAAGUCGAAGAAGAUGUUGAAAUUGAUAAAGAAGAAGAAGAAGAAGCUGAAGUAGAAGAAUUUGAAGUUCAAGAAGAAGAAGUUGAACAAGAAGAGAAUAAAAAAGAGAAAAUAGAAAUGAGAAAAAGGUAAAUAUCAUUGUCUAUAUACAUGAUGAUAGACAAUGAUAGUAGUCUAUCAUUGUCUAUCAUUCAAUGUUCUUCUUAUGAACUCCAAUAUUUUCUUGCAACAAAUCAAUGAAGAAGAGCAAAAUGAGAAAGAGAAAGAAGAUGAAGGGCAAGUAGAAGAAGAGCAAGAGAAACUAGAUGAAGAGCAUGUAGAUGAAGACCAAGAGAAAGUAGAUACAGAUCAAGUAGAAGAUGAGAAAAAUGAGGAGGAACAAAUUCAAGAAGAGCACAAUGAAGAGGAAGAUACUGAUGAAGAAGAGAAUGAGAUUCUUUUUCAGAAGAAAAGACCAAAGAGAAACUAGAGGGGGAAGCAAGUUGUUGAUGAGGAAGACAAAAUAGAAGAAGAAACUGAUAGUGAAGAGGAUCCAUAUGAAGAUAUUCAAACAAAAGGGAAAAAUAGAUAACAGAAGGGAAAGCAGCAAAAGCAAGGGAAGCGUAAAAGGUUUAGACCAAAGGUGCUAGAAGACACACACUUUCAGAAGGAAAUACCAAAGAGACAACGAAAACCAACCAAAAAAUCAUUAUAAAAUAUAAAUAAGAAAAAUUUCCCUCUAAAGAAGAAACCUGAGAAGAAGAACGAAGUACAACCUCAAACUUCAACUCAAGAAUGUGUGAAAUUGAUGAUGGACACUACUCCAAGCAUCAGCUUGAACAUUUCUCAAACUCAAUCUCAACCUUAGUCUCAAUCUUGAUUGUAGAAUUACUUUAUAUUGUAAAGCUUCAAGUUGAACAUUUCUUUCUAUAUGAUUUUCUACUUUAUACAAUUUAUAAGUUUCUUUC
This is an RNA transcript of Benincasa hispida (wax gourd), 2809 nucleotides long. It is a transcript of the gene named RNI-like superfamily protein, with no coding region annotated. NCBI's taxonomy places the organism in Eukaryota, Viridiplantae, Streptophyta, Magnoliopsida, Cucurbitales, Cucurbitaceae. The record is from RefSeq and is a predicted model, not a curated record.